Transfer RNA from Gonapodya prolifera JEL478, 72 nucleotides. It matches the Rfam family "tRNA". From Rfam's summary of the family: Transfer RNA (tRNA) molecules are approximately 80 nucleotides in length. Their secondary structure includes four short double-helical elements and three loops (D, anti-codon, and T loops). Further hydrogen bonds mediate the characteristic L-shaped molecular structure. tRNAs have two regions of fundamental functional importance: the anti-codon, which is responsible for specific mRNA codon recognition, and the 3' end, to which the tRNAs corresponding amino acid is attached (by aminoacyl-tRNA synthetases). tRNAs cope with the degeneracy of the genetic code in two manners: having more than one tRNA (with a specific anti-codon) for a particular amino acid; and 'wobble' base-pairing, i.e. permitting non-standard base-pairing at the 3rd anti-codon position. NCBI's taxonomy places the organism in Eukaryota, Fungi, Monoblepharomycota, Monoblepharidomycetes, Monoblepharidales, Gonapodyaceae. The record is from Rfam.
UCCGAUAUAGUCCAGUGGUUAGGAUCCCGCGCUUUCACCGCGGUGACCCGGGUUCGAACCCCGGUAUCGGAA